Homo sapiens (human) is the source of this 2760-nucleotide RNA transcript. RefSeq lists it as uncharacterized. The record is from RefSeq and is marked provisional. Lineage: Eukaryota; Metazoa; Chordata; Mammalia; Primates; Hominidae.
UUCAUAUUAAAAAAAUAGCUGGUAAAUCUUUCUAGGUAGUAACUUAUCCAAACAAUACUUUGAGUAUCAUAUUUUGUGAAUGACUUGCUUAAACUGGGAAACUGAAUAUUCUUUUUAAAUCAUAUAAUUCCUGUAUUAAAUGUGAAACACACAGUCUCCAAAGUCACCUGAUUCUCUGUGGAAAAUGAAAGGCAUUGAAGGAAACCAGAUACAUUAAUACUUAGUUUUGGUUGAAAGUGCAACAUUACUGUACUUAGAAGGGGCUUGGUUUAUUUUUAGAUAUUUAAGCUAUCAUUAAUUUUAGACCAAUGGCUAAUAAUAAGAGAGAUUUUUGGUUGCUCAUUUAUGGAGAGACAAAGAACAGCAUGGCAUAAACAAACAUCCCAGAAAUAAAUGAAAAGUUUUAAGUGAUAAAAUUGUGUUUUCUAUGAACCAGUGUUGUACAUGAACCAACAUUGUGUUUCUUAGCUCUGACCUGUACAGUGAGGUACCUGUCAGGACCCCUAGUCUUGGCACUGGAAAUGACAAAGUUCUCCUAUUACUAAAUUCUCAUGCCUUCCUUUUCUGACUUAGUAGAUUGAAAUUGGUAGGUACUAAUGAUUUAUGUUUGAUAAACUUAAGUUCUGCUGAUAUCCUGUUACUGGUAAUUCUGGUACCAAAAUUUCAAACGGUUUGAUUAUUAGUAGCAUUUUGAGUACCUAGGUGCAUAUAAUACAGUUAGCAGACCCUUACAGAGUCAAAAGAGAUUUUGGAAUCUGGUGAUACUGUUGUUUAUUACACUAGCCUAUUACAUUUUCUUUCUUUAUAAUAACUGUUUAUGUGAGUUUCAUUGAAAAUCGUGGCUCUAUUGCUUUAUUCAUGGUUUCCACAACUCUUUUUGUAACACCUUAAUUUUCUCUCUUAGGUAUUUUCCUGUUAAAUAAGAUAUCAAAAGCAUCAAUCACAAGACAGAGAAAACGUAUUAGGAAAAACUUGUAUUAGUAUAUUCUAAACUGAAAUGGAAAAACUCAUUAUUCAUAUUUUAAUAAAUAAAACUCCCAAAUGAUCUUGCUAAAUUAUCCCACUAUUUAGAAGUAGAAAAUAAGAGAAGAGUGCUUUCAAGGAAAUUUGUCAUAUUCUCCCUUCUAUCUAGAAGUUGACAAUGAAUUGCAAUAAAACUAAGAAAUAACUGAAUGCUGAAAAAUACCAUGAAUUAAUGUUAUGGCUUCUUUAUUUUUGUAUAUCCAUUCCCACAAAAUUGAAUUUAAGAUUAUUAAUGAAAAUUCUAUAUUAAGUAAUAAUGCUUGUAUUAGUAAUGGGUAAAGAAGUCUUUCUUUGUUACAUUAACCGUUAGUAAAAGAUGUACUUUGACAUUUCUGAUGUAAAACCUAUAUGUAAAUAUUGUAAUUUAAAUAUGAUUGGACAGCUGUUAAGUUUUGGGGAGGGAAGCAGAUGCCAGCGUUCUCUGCUGAAAAGACAAGAUGGCGCUUGACGGACCACAGCAGAUGGAGCUGGAGGAGGAAAAGGCAGGCAGUGGACUCUGCCAGUAUUAUCUGUCCAAGAUUGAAGAACUCCAGGGUCAACUGCAAUAUAAAUUGGAUGGGGGAAAGCCACAAGGAACAGUUCUGAACUCCAGGUGCAUUUGCAGCUGAUUUUGAAUGAUAAGACCCAAAACCUCUGGAGGCGGCAGGUGCACGGGAAUGAACUAAAUGUUAAAGUGUGCCUAUUACAGGAGGAGCUACAGCUGCUGCAGGAAUAGGACUCCUGUGUCAGGGAAGUAGUCCAGGCCAUGGGUAAGAAGAAAGUGUUGGUCAAGGUGCAUCUCAAGGACAAGUUUGUCAUAGAUGUGGACAAAAAUAUCAGCAUCAGUGAUGUGACACCCAGUUCCUUGGUGGUUCUAAGAAAUGACAGCUACACUUUGCACAAGAUCCUACCCAACAAGGUGGACUCAUUGGUGUCACUGAUGAUGGUGAAGAAAGUACCAGAUUCAGCUUAUGAAAUGAUUGGUAGACUGGAUAGGCAGAUCAAGAAGAUCAAAGAAGUGAUCGACCUGCCUGCUAAGCAUCCCGAGCUCUUCAAAGCACUGGGCAUUGCACAGCCCAAGGGAAUGCUGCUUGGAAGAGACUGUUGGCCUGGGCUCUGGCUCAUCAUAGGGACUGUGUACCUUUAUUCAUGUCUCUGGCUCUGAAUUGGUACAGAAAUUCAUUGGGGAAUUUCUGUGAUGGCAGAGAAAAUGCUCAUCUGUCAUCUUCAUGGAUGAAAUUGACUCUUUUGGCUCCUCAGAGCUGGAGGGGGAUGCUGGAGGGAACAGUGAAGUGCAGCAGAUGAUGCUUCGAGGGUGGCUUUGAGGCCACCAAGAGUAUCACGGUUUAUCACGGCUGCUAAUACGAUUGAUAUCCUGGACUCGGCACUGCUUUGCCCAGGGCACAUUGACAGAAAAAUUGAAUUCCCAACCUGCAAUGAGUAGGCCUGGCUGGUCACUUUGAAGAUUCAUUCUCAGAAAUGAACCUGACCCAGGGGAUCAACCUGAGAAAAAUUGCUGAGCUUAUGCCAGGAGCAUCAGGCUGAAGUGAAGGGCAUGUGCACAGAAACCGGCAUGUAUGCCCUGAGUAGCGAGUCCAUGUCACUCAGAAGGACUUUGAGGUAGUCCAAAGUCCUAUCUCAUGCCAAAGGACAGUGAGGAAAAACAUGUCCAUCAAGAAACUAUGGAAUUGAGGGCACAUCCUUUGUGUGUAUCCCUACAAUAAAACUCAGUGGGACAAGCAAAAAAAAAAAAAAAAA